Molecule: ribosomal RNA, 999 nt
Filed under: Mesorhizobium sp.
Lineage: Bacteria; Pseudomonadati; Pseudomonadota; Alphaproteobacteria; Hyphomicrobiales; Phyllobacteriaceae
Description: partial 23S ribosomal RNA
Rfam family: Bacterial large subunit ribosomal RNA
Source: RNAcentral
CCUAAGGUAGCGAAAUUCCUUGUCGGGUAAGUUCCGACCUGCACGAAUGGCGUAAUGAUGGCCAGGCUGUCUCCACCCGAGACUCAGUGAAAUUGAACUCGCUGUGAAGAUGCAGUGUACCCGCGGCAAGACGGAAAGACCCCGUGAACCUUUACUAUAGCUUGACACUGAACACUGGUCCUUGAUGUGUAGGAUAGGUGGGAGGCUUUGAAGCGUGGACGCCAGUCUGCGUGGAGCCAACCUUGAAAUACCACCCUUUAAUGGCUGGUGUUCUAACGUAGACCCGUGAUCCGGGUUGCGGACAGUGUCUGGUGGGUAGUUUGACUGGGGCGGUCUCCUCCCAAAGAGUAACGGAGGAGCACGAAGGUUAGCUAAUCCUGGUCGGACAUCAGGAGGUUAGUGCAAUGGCAUAAGCUAGCUUGACUGCGAGAGUGACGGCUCGAGCAGGUGCGAAAGCAGGUCAUAGUGAUCCGGUGGUUCUGAAUGGAAGGGCCAUCGCUCAACGGAUAAAAGGUACUCCGGGGAUAACAGGCUGAUACCGCCCAAGAGUUCAUAUCGACGGCGGUGUUUGGCACCUCGAUGUCGGCUCAUCACAUCCUGGGGCUGAAGUAGGUCCCAAGGGUAUGGCUGUUCGCCAUUUAAAGUGGUACGCGAGCUGGGUUUAGAACGUCGUGAGACAGUUCGGUCCCUAUCUGCCGUGGGCGCUGGAGAAUUGAGGGGGGCUGCUCCUAGUACGAGAGGACCGGAGUGGACGCAUCACUGGUGUUCGGGUUGUCAUGCCAAUGGCACUGCCCGGUAGCUAAAUGCGGAAGAGAUAAGUGCUGAAAGCAUCUAAGCACGAAACUUGCCCCGAGAUGAGUUCUCCCUGAGACUUUAAGUCUCCUGAAGGAACGUUGAAGACGACGACGUUGAUAGGUCGGGUGUGUAAGCGCAGCGAUGCGUUGAGCUAACCGAUACUAAUGAACCGUGAGGCUUAACCUUACAACGCCGAAGGUGUUU